RNAcentral lists this long non-coding RNA (538 nucleotides) under Elaeis guineensis (African oil palm). RNAcentral's name for it is "long non-coding RNA (EGUI_LNC065396)". The record is from RNAcentral. Lineage: Eukaryota; Viridiplantae; Streptophyta; Magnoliopsida; Arecales; Arecaceae.
UCUACUGAUCCUUUAGAUUUCCUGUUGAUCUCGGUCUCUUCUUAUCUCCUCUUUCUAGUUCUGCUCUUUUCAAUUCAGAUUCCACUUUCAAAGCUCGCUCCAGUACGUCCUCGUAGUUAUUGAAAAUAUGAGAAGACAGACGGGAUCGAAUUUCAUAUCUUAGACCUUGUUCAAAUCUGUUAGCUUUACUCCUUUCGAAUUCCAUAAGUUGGGGGCAGAAGCGGCCUAGCUCAUUAAACUUGUUAGCAUAUUCUAGCACCGUCAUAUCAUCCUUUUGCUUUAAGGCUAGAAACAUUUUAUGGUAUCAGAGCAUCUAAAUCCAAAGAUGAAAUAAUCAAAGUCUUAAAAUUCAUAAUGACUACAAUCCAUAAACAUAAACUGAAUUCCUAGUGCAAAAUUUUCAAGCUUGCUUUUUCUGAUCCCCAAGCCUAGAUUCUCUUUUCUUCGGUCCUAGCCUUAUUUCUCUGUACAUGAAAAAGAAAACAAAAAGAAUAUGAGCUACACUAGCUCAGUAAGUAGACUUCCGCUUCCUUACCGG